AUACGGAGGGUGCAAGCGUUACUCGGAAUCACUGGGCGUAAAGCGCGCGCAGGCGGCUAUUUAAGUUGGAUGUGAAAGCCUACGGCUCAACCGUAGAACUGCAUCCAAAACUAUUUAGCUAGAGUAUGGGAGAGGAAGAUGGAAUUAGUUGUGUAGGGGUAAAAUCCGUAGAGAUAACUAGGAAUACCAAAAGCGAAGGCAAUCUUCUGGAACACUACUGACGCUGAGGCGCGAAAGCGUGGGGAGCAAACAGGAUUAGAAACCCUUGUAGUCC
This 274-nucleotide ribosomal RNA is filed under the name uncultured bacterium. RNAcentral describes it as "partial 16S ribosomal RNA". It matches the Rfam family "Bacterial small subunit ribosomal RNA", at positions 523 to 796 of the family's 1533-position model. The record is from RNAcentral.